GGAAUAUUGCGCAAUGGGCGGAAGCCUGACGCAGCCACGCCGCGUGAGCGAUGAAGGUCUUAGGAUCGUAAAGCUCUGUGGAGGGAGAAGAAGAAAGCCGGUGAAGAGCCGGCCUUGACGGUAUCCCUUUAGCAAGCACCGGCUAACUCCGUGCCAGCCGCCGCGGUAAUACGGAGGGUGCAAACGUGGCUCGGAAUCAUUGGGCGUAAAGCGCGCGUAGGCGGCGAAGCAAGUUGGAUGUGAAAGCCCUGGGCUCAACCUAGGAUGUGCAUACAAAACUGCUUCGCUUGAAUCUCGGAGGGGGACAGGGAAUUCCCGGUGUAGAGGUGAAAUUCGUAGAUAUCGGGAGGAACACCAGUGGCGAAGGCGCUGUCCUGGACGAUGAUUGACGCUGAAGCGCGAAAGCGUGGGGAGCAAAC
RNAcentral lists this ribosomal RNA (419 nucleotides) under uncultured bacterium. RNAcentral describes it as "bacterial SSU rRNA". It matches the Rfam family "Bacterial small subunit ribosomal RNA", at positions 358 to 773 of the family's 1533-position model. The record is from RNAcentral.